GGCCACCUGGCUGAGUCAGUCAGUAGAGCGUGGGACUUUUGAUCUCAGGGUUGUGAGUUCAAGACCCACAGUAGUCA
This 77-nucleotide transfer RNA is filed under the name Canis lupus familiaris (dog). It matches the Rfam family "tRNA". From Rfam's summary of the family: Transfer RNA (tRNA) molecules are approximately 80 nucleotides in length. Their secondary structure includes four short double-helical elements and three loops (D, anti-codon, and T loops). Further hydrogen bonds mediate the characteristic L-shaped molecular structure. tRNAs have two regions of fundamental functional importance: the anti-codon, which is responsible for specific mRNA codon recognition, and the 3' end, to which the tRNAs corresponding amino acid is attached (by aminoacyl-tRNA synthetases). tRNAs cope with the degeneracy of the genetic code in two manners: having more than one tRNA (with a specific anti-codon) for a particular amino acid; and 'wobble' base-pairing, i.e. permitting non-standard base-pairing at the 3rd anti-codon position. The record is from Rfam by way of RNAcentral. Lineage: Eukaryota; Metazoa; Chordata; Mammalia; Carnivora; Canidae. RNAcentral also lists the same sequence under 1 other name.